Molecule: ribosomal RNA, 204 nt
Filed under: uncultured ammonia-oxidizing archaeon
Lineage: Archaea
Description: partial 16S ribosomal RNA
Rfam family: Archaeal small subunit ribosomal RNA
Source: RNAcentral
UAAUACCAGCACCCCGAGUGGUCGGGACGUUUAUUGGGCCUAAAGCAUCCGUAGCCGGUUCUACAAGUCUUCCGUUAAAUCCAACUGCUUAACAGGUGGGCUGCGGAAGAUACUAUAGAUCUAGGAGGCGGGAGAGGCAAGCGGUACUCGAUGGGUAGGGGUAAAAUCCGUUGAUCCAUUGAAGACCACCAGUGGCGAAGGCGG